RNAcentral lists this ribosomal RNA (447 nucleotides) under uncultured bacterium. RNAcentral describes it as "partial 16S ribosomal RNA". It matches the Rfam family "Bacterial small subunit ribosomal RNA", at positions 29 to 523 of the family's 1533-position model. The record is from RNAcentral.
AGCGAACGCUGGCGGCAGGCUUAACACACGCAAGUCGAACGCCCCGCAAGGGGAGUGGCAGACGGGUGAGUAACACGUGGGAACGUACCCUUUGGUUCGGAAUAACUUGGGGAAACUCAAGCUAAUACCGGAUAAGCCCUUAUGGGGAAAGGUUUACUGCCGAAGGAUCGGCCCGCGCCUGAUUAGCUAGUUGGUGAGGUAAUGGCUCACCAAGGCGACGUUCAGUAGCUGGUCUGAGAGGAUUAUCAGCCACACUGGGACUGAGACACGGCCCGCAGUCCUACGGGAGGCAGCUGUGGGGAAUAUUGGACAAUGGGGGCAACCCUGAUCCAGCCAUGCCGCGUGAGUGAUGAAGGCCUUAGGGUUGUAAAGCUCUUUUACCCGGGACGAUAAUGACUGUACCGGGAGAAUAAGGCCCGGGUAACUUCGUGCCAGCCGCCGCGGUAA